CCUACGGGGUGCAGCAGUGGGGAAUAUUGGACAAUGGGCGAAAGCCUGAUCCAGCCAUGCCGCGUGUGUGAAGAAGGCCUUCGGGUUGUAAAGCACUUUCAGUGGGGAAGAAAGCCUUGGGGCUAAUACCCUCGAGGAAGGACAUCACCCACAGAAGAAGCACCGGCUAACUCCGUGCCAGCAGCCGCGGUAAUACGGAGGGUGCGAGCGUUAAUCGGAAUUACUGGGCGUAAAGCGCGCGUAGGCGGUCUGAUAAGCCGGUUGUGAAAGCCCCGGGCUCAACCUGGGAACGGCAUCCGGAACUAUCAGGCUAGAGUGCAGGAGAGGAAGGUAGAAUUCCCGGUGUAGCGGUGAAAUGCGUAGAGAUCGGGAGGAAUACCAGUGGCGAAGGCGGCCUUCUGGACUGACACUGACGCUGAGGUGCGAAAGCGUGGGUAGCAAACAGGAUUAGAUACCCCGGUAGUC
RNAcentral lists this ribosomal RNA (465 nucleotides) under Vreelandella stevensii. Its description in RNAcentral is "partial 16S ribosomal RNA". It matches the Rfam family "Bacterial small subunit ribosomal RNA", at positions 338 to 795 of the family's 1533-position model. The record is from RNAcentral. Lineage: Bacteria; Pseudomonadati; Pseudomonadota; Gammaproteobacteria; Oceanospirillales; Halomonadaceae.